RNAcentral lists this ribosomal RNA (371 nucleotides) under uncultured bacterium. Its description in RNAcentral is "bacterial SSU rRNA". It matches the Rfam family "Bacterial small subunit ribosomal RNA", at positions 917 to 1289 of the family's 1533-position model. The record is from RNAcentral.
GGGCCCGCACAAGCGGUGGAGCAUGUGGUUUAAUUCGAUGAUACGCGAGGAACCUUACCAGGGCUUAAAUGUAACGGGACAGAUCUAGAGAUAGAUCCUUCUUCGGACUCAUUACAAGGUGCUGCAUGGUUGUCGUCAGCUCGUGCCGUGAGGUGUCAGGUUAAGUCCUAUAACGAGCGCAACCCCCCAUCGUUAGUUGCCAACGAGUAAUGUCGGGAACUCUAACGAAACUGCCGGUGCAAACCGUGAGGAAGGUGGGGAUGACGUCAAAUCAUCACGGCCCUUACGUCCUGGGCUACACACGUGCUACAAUGGUCGGUACAGAGAGCAGCCACUACGCGAGUAGGAGCAAAUCUCUUAAAGCUUGUCUC